UCGCUUCAGCAGCACAUAGACUAAAAUAGGAAUGAUACAGAGAUCAGUCUGGUCCCUGCUCAGGGAUGACCUGCAAAUUCAUGAAGCAUUCCAUAUUUUC
Molecule: small nuclear RNA, 100 nt
Organism: Callithrix jacchus (white-tufted-ear marmoset)
Lineage: Eukaryota; Metazoa; Chordata; Mammalia; Primates; Cebidae
Source: Ensembl